Corvus hawaiiensis (hawaiian crow) is the source of this 10053-nucleotide long non-coding RNA. RefSeq lists it as uncharacterized. Lineage: Eukaryota; Metazoa; Chordata; Aves; Passeriformes; Corvidae. The transcript has 4 exons. The record is from RefSeq and is a predicted model, not a curated record.
AUCACAAACACAGUGGCAAAAUCUGAAAUCAAGACCUAAUCAAGACCUAAUGGGUUAACUGACUGUGCUGAGACCCCACUGAUCCUCUCUCAGAGAGGAGAGAUAUAAAAGGUUUGCAAACAUGGUGGAUAUUCAGAAUGAGUUUUGAACUCAAGUUGCCAAGUUUGACAUCUCAAAAAAUGUCCAGGUUUGAUCCUUCUGCCUUGCCGUGUGGAGAAAGAAUGAACUGAAUGAACAGACAUUAUUUUGGUGUAGGGUCUAUCUGUUGCUCUGUUGGACUAUAAAUGGCAAUUACUUUUUCUGUGAUCUGUGUUUCAGUGCCCUACUGACAAGUGAAAGUGUGCAGAAGUAGUGAAGUUUAUUGCAAGCACGAAUGAGCAACUGCAGAGAUUAUUCAUUGCACCCUGCCACAGCUCAAACACAGAAUUAAUUCAGUGCAGAUGCUGAACAAAUGAUUUGAAUUUUGUUGCAGAAGAUCAUACUAGUGACUGCUGACAUGGGGAAUAACCGCCGUCUCUGUGGGACUGAACGUUACUUGAACAAAAAUUCAGACUGAUGUGUUUUGCCAUUUUGGAUCCUCUUCAUUAGCAAGGUAGCUAGGCAAGGGGAAUCGAUCCCCUAUGCCUGGGGCUGUGCCACAGUCACUUUGCUUGUAUCCUCUAGCUAUCAAAACUUGAAAGAGAAAAAAGAAAAUGGCUUUUUUUCAGCAUUAUGUGCAAUGCUAUUUGUCCUAAAGAGCUUCACUGGUAUUGAUAUACUGGCUUGAGAUCUUCAUCAAGACAUAUUGUAAGUUAUUACCAUAAUGUCCACAGGCUUUGAAAUGCUCAAAGGAUCUGUAAAGAUAAUAUAUUGACAUCAAAGCUUCUUUCAAGCCCUGUUUCCAAAAGAAUCAGAUAUAGUAGAAGAACAUAAUAUGUUUGCCAAAAGCAGCAAAAAGUUUUUUGGAAAUAAAUCUUUUCCUUACAUCCACACUUGAACAAAUUAACCUGAAAAAUUAAUUUUAAAAUGGUAUCACAAUGAUAAUUCCUAUUGGACAAAGCUUAUCAGAGGGAGAGAAAUAGAAACUGGGAAAACAACUGGGAGAGAAUCAGACUAUAAAACUUUCUCAGCAUCUUCUGGAUUAGACAAGUUCAUUCUAUAACAUUCAAGGCAAAGCUGUGGUGAGAGGGAGAAAAAUGGAGAAAUCGUAGCUAUGACAAAUGUUCUCCUGAUGGAGCCAGGGUUUUACUUGGUACAACCAAACCUGUUUCAUCCCACAGAUGGGGGCUGUGGAAAGCAUCUCUCAUGCUGGCAAAAGAAAUUGCCUUCAUGGUAUGUCUCCCCUUUGUGUAGUGGCUGGUGAGAUAUCCUAUGCCUCAGCCUACAUCAUGUGGAGGAAUUACAAUUAACAAAGCCUCUACUGAAUUAGUGUAAGUAUAUGCAACAUGGAAACCAGGAAAGGAGUGUAAUGGGAGAAACAAAAUAGUUACAGAUGUUAAGGGAUAUGAACGCUGAAAGCAGUUAAUUGAAAACUGAAAGGAGCUAAUAAUGAGAGAAGAAAGAAUAAGUGAAUUAAAUGGAAACAUCAGGGUAAAAAGAGAAAAUAUUUCAGAAGAAACCUACAGGUACAGAUAAAUAUAUCAAGAGGACACUUAUUGCUUCUCAUUAGAAGUGUGUUCUGGAGUACAACUAUGAGCUACUUUUAAUUCUUUCUAGGGCAUUGAAAAUUCUGUGGGGUGGACAGACAUGGUGAUUUCUUGUGGAAAUGCUACCUAACGUUUAUCCUGAACUGAUUCAAAACAAGCCAUCCAAGCUUAAAGGAAAAGACUGCUCAACACUGGAAUUUUUAAGUGGCCACGUGUAUACUCAUCUGAUGGGAGGAGAUAAGUGUGCCCUGUGCUUCUGGAGGAUGCAUGGCCAAGAGUAAUCCUGAGUGUCAUAGUAAGCAAACUUCUACUAUGAUUGCUAUGGUGCUCUGGCAUUUUAAUAGCAACUAAAGGAGUAACCUGCUCAGGACCCACUCUUAGGAACAAAAAUAGGCAAAUACGCAUCAUGAUAGGUUAUUUUUCCCCCCAUUUUAUCAGCCUCUGGAGACUAAACUGCUGAAAGUGCUGUUGGUCAAACUGGCAGGCAAGGGGGCUAAUGGCUUUCAUCCAUGGUAGCUGGUGGGAUCCAAAUGAGCAGAUGAUGAUGGUAUGGUGAUGGUUUCCAGCUCUGUAAAGGAAAACUCCUGCUGAUUUGGAAGUUCUCCUUGAUGAACACCACAUGUCUAUACUGAACUUUCUCUUCUAUUUAUUUUAAAUUUCCUAUGAAAGUAAUUUCUCUGUGAAGGGGUAAGGAAACGACGUGCUUAAAAAGAAAACCUAACUGCCGUGCUUAGAAGUAUGUUUAUUCAACUGUGAAGUUUACUGUUGAAAUAGGGAUUGACAGAUGUUAGCCAUAUUUUAUCAGUACUCUCAUGAAUGCCAGGACUAGAAAUGCUCAGGAGAAGCUCAUGCCAUCAGCCCUCAGCUGAACAUGUACUGAGAAGAUUUAUUCUUGCUUUCUUUUCAUUGUGCUUAUCCCAGACUUCUCACAGCAGGUCUUAAUGAAAAAUAUUCCAAAUUUCAGUGACAGUUCCAAGUAACUGACAGAUGGAACAAAGCACACCAAGAACUUGAUUAAGGAAGGGGACACCUGAGAUAGGAUUUUGGAGAGAGGCAGGUGAUUAUCUCUGAUACUGUGAUCCUCAUGACCUUCUGUCAGCUUGCAGCCGAAGCUGGACAUGUUUACACUGUGUUGGCAACCUUGUCUUUGACUUUCUAAGCAGACAAAGUUUGACUUCUUCCCUGUUCAGAGCAACUUUCUUUGUGCUAAUAGUAAUUAUGGAGCAAGCAUUCCAUGCCUAAAACCUCAGAGGAUGCCAAACUUGAGCUUUUUUCUGUCUGCCUUUCUUGUAGGUGUGACUGCAGUACGUGAUGGGAAAAGGGCACAUCUCCCCCAGGAUGGUCUCCUGCACAACAUGCAGCAGCAAUGGCCUUUGUUCUCAGGCUGCCACCAUGUCCCUUUAAUGCAGCAGUCCAGCUCAUCCAUUGUUCUGUCUGAUUGUGAGAUAUUUUGUCUGAUGAGGCUGAGAAUUGCAAGGCAAACCCAUUUCAGGACAGGAGAAAGCUUCCCCUCUGUUACUAUGUCCCUUUGCCUAUAAAUAAUUUGACAUUCAUUGUAGCAUGUGAGCUGCAAAAUGCUCUUUAAUUUCACCAGAUGGGGAUUAGCUGAACAACCUACUAGCUCAUGGCUUGCACAGUGCAGCUCCUGGUAAGGAAAGUAUCCAGGAGUGGUUCUUAAUAGAAGGGAUUUUCCAGUUUUAUAUCUCUUCAUGACCUAUCCCUGCCAUCUUCACAUGUACACACACACACACACACACACACACACACAGACAUCUGAUCAAUACUCUUGAUUAAUACUUUGAUUAAAAUCUUGAGAAAAGUAGAAAGACUUAAAGAUUCGUUCCAGAUCAAUGCUGUGUUUAGCUGCCUAGUCUGUUCAUAUUCUUGUCACAUAAUGUUCUGCCUCUGAUAAAGGAAUAGACAACCCAUCUGACUGAUUAAUGGGAUGCAGUUGCACAUAAUGUUGUUAAAAAUUUUUACACUGAACCGGUCACAAACAGCAUAAUAUAUGAACAAGUUUUUGUUAAAGGAAUUUACAAAUAACUUCUGCAAAAGUAUAUGAAAAAGUUAUUUCAUAACUUCACUAAGAUUUAUAGGCAGCAAAUGCAGGUAAAAUUCAUUGAAAUUGUGAUUUAUUGCAAUUACUUUAUUUGCUGUUGGAUAUAUUUAGAUGUGUAUGCAGAGAGAAUGUGGGAUUUUAUGAAAGAGGGAGAAAUAAUUCAGUGGGGUUUUUUUGUUUCUAUACCAACAAAAUCCAUCGGCAAGCUUUGGAGGCAGGGAAAAAAGAGGAAAAUAGCAGAACUUUUAUGUUUUCCAGAAGUGCCUUGAUGUAUCAGUCCUGAUUUACUGCACCUCAUAAGAACUUAAAGGGAAGGUUGGAGAUAUUCUUUUCCUACUGGGGUGUGCUGAAUGGAAUUGCUGUGGAGUAGUGCUUCAGCAGUAUGCAGGAGAGUGAUGUUCACCACAACUGGUUGAGAGAUGCUGCUUCUGCUCCAGAGGACACCAAAUUGACUGACUAUAUUAAAGGAAGAAGAAAAAGAGGGAGAGGGAGAGAGAGAGAAAAAAAAACAGGACUUGGAUGAUAUUUCUCAGUGUCUGCCAAUAUCUAACAUGCUUUUGGAAAAGUUGCAUAACACAACCUACCAAGAGAGCCCUGUUUGAAUAGAGCAUGAAUCCAAUGAAUCUAAAAGGAGAUAAGUGUUUCAUGACGCAUUCACUGAGAACUUUGCCCUCGAUAUUUGCUAUGUAAAACUGAUAUAUAUGGCUGCCCUGAGAAAGGUUAUUCGAUACAAGACAGUAUGGUAUCGACAUAAAGUGCAUCUGUGAAGUGAACUGUUGAAUUACUACAGCUAUUCAUCAGAAACCGUGGGAUUCUGCUGAUGACAAAAUCCGCUCCCAAGACAGUUUUCCAAGAGCAGUUUUUCUCUGCAGACUCUCAUCAAGUCUAUGUAGCAGCACCAGGAGCCAGUGGGAGUUUUGUGUGUAUGUGUGUGUAAUGUGAACUUGGACACCAUGUUCACAACAAUUUUUGUCACUUGAAGAUGACAAAGGUUCAAAAUAUUGCUUUUGUUUGGCAUCCCUCAAGUAGGUUAACACAACAAUUUAUGUGUACAAUAUGCCACCUUCAUCCAGACAUUUGAUAUCUCACCAUGUUUAAAUGAAGACAGAGGCAUGAAUCCAGUCCCCAGAGCUAUCCUGUCCCCCAGACUGAGGGAAACUGACCUUAUGCAGAAUAUUCAGCCUGAAAAUCAACCUGACAUGUGACUUUGGGGUUUGAGGAGUUAACGGCAUUACCUCUUAUACUUAGUAUUUUAAAUUUAGGCAUGCACAGCACUCUACAAAAACAAAUAAAGACAAAUGUGAGAGAAGCAAAUAGUUCAUACCCUGGAAAGUUUACCUUUUCAGUUUCACGGAACUAUUGAAUUAAUUUCUGCAUAAAUCGGAGAGCUCACUGAAGAGGUGGGCUACAGAGAACCAAAUGGAACUAACCAUGACCAGAAAAGCAUGAAAGAAAAGGUAGAUAAAGUUAGAUAAUGUAAUUACACUAGAAAUCAAUGCAAAUCCCUAGGUGUAUAUGCAGUUUGGUGUUUAUGUUUGUCUACUUUUAUAAAUUCUAAGAGACAGUGAUAUUAAAAAAGGUCACCAGAAGAAAGGAAACUGCGAGAAUUGCCUGGUAAUCUCAGAAAGUAUAUGGUGGCAGAAAGGUAAAGGGUACACAGAAUUAUAGUAAGGAAAUUUUAGGGGAAAUCAGAAUACAUGAACUAAGAGAAAAAAACUGUUGCAGUUAUAUAGGUGUCAAAAGUAAGAAAAGGCCUAUGUUUGAUGGAAGUGGUAGAAGCUGCUUACGACAGAAAAAGUCCAUUUGGAUACCAGACAGCCACAGCUUGUGAUUUAUGCAAACUUGGAAGGAAUACAGAAACUUAGCCCAAAUACAGUAGCUGUCGUAAGAGAUGCACAGCUCUGGGAAGACAGAAAAACUUAAAUAUAAACGAACUGAAAUGAGGUUAAACGCUGGCAUAAUUGUGACAGCAAUUCUGUCUGCGGUUUUACUUGAAAGCAGCGCCCGCAGUCAGAAGCUCAGAUUGCCGACGCGUGAUACGUCUCAUGUGAUUCAUACAUGUGAUGUGUGGUGUAGUAGUCAACAUACACAGAACAAGGGUACCUGCAGCUCUACCCCGAAAAUUUCUCAGCAAAUCUGGGUGGACAAAUGUCUGCUAGUUAUGGUUAGCGUCUAACUUCCAGUCCCAAUUUUUUUUAAAAUUACUAAUAGCAUUCCCAAAUAAAUUGUUUUCAGCUGAAACUUUCUCCACUGAAUGGUCAUUUUGGCAGAUGCUUUAAAUUAAGUCCAUGAGUCUCCUUAAGAAUUUUUCAGUAAUUGAGAAGAGAAACACCUUUUCUUUUAUGAUCUGCUAAGACCAUGUCAGCUUUAGAGGCAGAACGACACACACUCACUGAAACUUGCAAGUGAAUUGAAUCUUAGGCAGUCAACUCAUUAAAGCUGUUGACUAAUACCUGCAGUGCAGUAAUACUCUGAGACUCCUGUGGAUUUUCAUUCAGUGGGAUUUGCUGAUUCUCAAAGAAACCCCUGGAUUUGGUAUGUUUUCCUUUACAAAAAUGUCAGUGACAAAAUCCUAUCUUAUAACUGAGAGAUCUUUAUUCUAUAGUUUAAGCUAGUGCAGAGCUUAAGGUUAAAAAAUUAAAUUUUCAAUGUUUUACUGCACUAUUGUACCAGCUUCUUUUUCUGACUCUUUAUACAAAUUAUAAUUAAAAACUCCCAACCAAAAAAAAACUUCAAAAAAUCCUCACAAAUAAACCUGAAAAUAAGAAACAAGGAAAUAUAAAGGAUAAAGAACUGCUAUGAUUUUUGUUAACACUAUUUUUGUGACCUCGUGAGAUUAUCCUUAUAUUCACCCUUUCUGUAACACCUGUGUCCAUGAAAGGGAAAGCAAAAACUUCAUGUCCGUUAGCCUGACUUGAGUAGUUUGAGACUAUUAGGAAAAAGAGUGAAAGCUAUUACUGUGAAAGAUAAAAAAUGCAACCUAUCUUUCAAAGGAAGACUGUGCCAAGCUAAUCUGAUAUCUGGAUGGGAUAACCUCCUGUCAAAAGUAUAUGCUAGUUAUUGAAGGUUUGCCAUUAACAGUGCAAAGAGCUUUAUCAUCAAUAGCUUCGACACAUUGUAAAGGAUUUGGUUAACCCCAAGUCUGUGAGUGGGAAGGCCUUGUCUCUGUGAAGAGCAGAGGAGGAAGCAGAGAGAUUUCAGCAAUGACAGUGUUGUCAUGAGGAGCAAUGGUGCUCACUUGCUGUGAGUAACUUCACGUUUCUGAGUGUCAGAGAGCUAAAAUUCAAGAACAUCUCUGUCUUGGAGGCAAAUGACUUAGUUGUGAAGAUGGAGCUUGAUAAAUGUUUGGAACCAUAUGGCAUGGUCAGCUGCAGUCGCAGGCAGCUGAGUCCAGGGGAAUCCUUUCCACUCUUGUGUUUCUGUACACUGGUUAUUGCCAUGUGAAAUGUCGCUGUCCUGUGGGUGUACAUGUAUGUGCUGAUAAGUGAAGAUGGUAAAGCCAACUAUGCUUCUGAUUGUUUCAGAAAAUGCCUUUGAUUAUUACAGGAGCCAUAUACUGUCCCAUUUCCUAGGACUAACUACAAAAAAGGAAGAAAUGGGUUUUUGAAAGCAUCUUGUGUUGCACUAUCUCCAUGUUGGAAUGUUGGAAUGUUGCAAUCUGAAAAACAAUUCAUGUUUAUAGAAACUUUUAUUUCAGUUUAUUAGCUUUUAAUCUAGGAUAAAUGGGAUUUUUUUUUUUUUCCCAUCUUACUUUGUUUAAAAUGGCUACAGGGUGCAUAGUUUGCAUGAGGAACCUUUAAAGCAUUCCUGUUCUUUUUCUUUUCCUUUAUUUGUAAGUGGUCUCCUCACAAAUCUGUGAAAACCAAAGGAGUGAAAACCAUGCUCGCCCCUAUGGAUGUGAAGCUCCAACAUCCUGAAAGCUGUUUGGCUUUAGAUUCCUCAGCUGAAUCCUUUCUAUGUCUUGGCUCAUGCAAGCCUGUUCCUAUGCACACCCCUUGGUAACCUGGCUUGCCUGUGCUCCUCUAGAGCUCUGCCCACACACAGUGACAAAUAUUACAAAUGGAUCUUUCCUAUACAUAUCUUUCCUAUAUAUAUCCUCAGUUCAUUAUUAUACUUUCAGGUGCUCAGUCUGCAGUGUUUCCAGGAUACAGUAAAAUAUGUGCAGUUUGACUUCCAGAAAUCUUUUGAUCUCUGAAGACAGUCUUAACAUGCAGUAGAUGUGAAGUGCUUUAUGCCACUCAGAGAGAAGUGUACUCCAUGAAGGAAUCAGCCUUUUUCAUUGCAGUUGCAGGCUCUGCUUACACUGGAAAUUCCACAGUGCCAGAAGAGAGUCCCAGGCACUAACUCCAUUGUCUACACUGUUAAAUUGUUUGAGCAGUCCUUGGAAUGGUUUGCCCCCGGGCAGUCAGCCCAGGCCUCUUCCAAACAUUUCCUGGGCAUAUUUUGAGAAUUAGCACGGGCCAGGCACCAUGCCCAACAUGUAGUUUGGAUGCGGGCACCCUUUUUUGGAUGAUAAUAGACUUCACUAGUGCCAGAUGGCCUCAGAGCCAGAGAGAAUAAACACAGCCUGAUUGCAUAUGCCAUGUGCUCAUGCAGAGGACCUCUUGUGCUGUAAAAUGAUAGCUGGACUUGUGUGUACGUGCGCAUCUCCACGUGAAGAAGCUGUAACCUGAAAGACUGGAUUUUACAAAGGGCAGCCUCAGACGGGACUUUGUGGCAUCCAGGAAGACAGAGUGGGCAUUAUGCAAUGCCUGUAUUGCUGAAAACAUCACAGGCUCAGAUCAAAUGCUGGGACCAUAUGUUCGAUGCACCAUCUCAAAUGGACACUAAGUAUAAAUUGGCUUUAAUGUCUCCUGGGCACCCUCUGGCCUUAGGACAUGUUUAUGUCUCUUUGCUGUUCAGACUGCCUGAAAUAAUACAGGAUCUGUGUUACAACCCACCAGAUGAGUGUUUUUAGCAUACAAAUUAGAAGGUGUGUGUUUUAGGAUGUGGUGUGUUCAAAGAUGCAGCAUCUACUAGGAUGCUGUUACAAGGCUGUGUUGUUGGGAGAGAGCCAAAACAAAUGUACCCUUGACUGUUACGAGCUGAGAGCUGCUCCUGUGAUGUUCAGGCACUGCCCAGCAGAGCGCCUGUUGAAGUGGUCCAAACCAAAGGUGAGAAGUGGCUUCACAGGGAGACUGAUCAGGGGUCCAGUGUGUGGUUCCCACACUGUCCCUCUCUUACUGAGAAGUACAACCAUGCCCCUUGGUGCUGGGUUCUUGGACACAAGACCCUAACCUCUUGAAAAAGCCUUGCAGGUUUUAGGUUGUCUGGGAAACCUCUGAGAUAAAUUACUUUCUUUCAUGCAGAGCAAACUCUGAUAGCAGAAUGGGAGAUUUCUGCACUGGAUUGCUUUGUUAUGUAUGAUUACUAGGGGCUCAAGUAAUAAAAAUUAUUAAGUGCUGAAGAGUCUAAAUCUGCUGAAAAACACAGGGGUGUCUGGACCUGUGUCUGCUGAGUUAUAACUGUCCCAGUUCCACUGGAGAGUACCAAUAAACUCUGCUGAGAUUUGCUUUAUUCCCAUAGUCUUUAAGUUAUACAGUAGAACAUAUAUGUAGGCUUUUAAGUUCAAACUCUUCUACCAGUUUGAAACUUUGGGAUUAAAUAUAAAGUUAUUUCUCCUUCUAUUUUUUGGUUUCAAAAUCACAAACUGUGUGGAAGAACAAAACUUGCUACAGUAAGUUCACAUUAAAUAAAGAACACUACAGGAAAACCUUCUCAUUAAGGAAAAUUAAGAGGAUAAAACCUGUUCUGGAUGUGAGAAAAUAUGUUAAUGAUUAUUAUAAUUAGCAUUAAUUAGUCUUAUUAGACUUUUUUAAUCACUAGUUUUGGAGAAUAUGGAAUAUUCAGGGAUUGGCAUGCAAACAGUGACUGAGCACAGAGAGUAGGUGUUCGAGAGAAGCUUUUCGUGAUUAGAAUCUGCUGAAGUGCGUUACAGUAUUGUGCAUGGAGCAUCUUGUUUCAACAUUGAAGAUGUCACUAGAAAUGGGCAAAUCCUUUGCUGUUACAGUUUUUUGUCUUUUUUUUUUUUUGGUUCAUCUCAUUAUGUUAUCUGAGAGCUGAUUUAUGAGACAGACAUCUCAUCUUAGUGGGGGAAGGGCAGGUGCCUGGAGACAGUAUCUUUUUCAGUAUCUUCUUUAUCCAGUGCUGCUGCAAAGGUGUUGAAACUGAGAGAUGACAAGGCCAACCAAUGUCUGCAGGACAGAUUUGGACAAAGAGAAAAACAAAGUUAAUCAUUAUGUCAGGAGAUGAAUUAAUAAUAUAAGAUAAAUUUUCAGUACUUUUGGUGGGGGGAAAGGUGAUGGGCAGUGUGUGUUAUCUGUCAGCAAG